This 980-nucleotide long non-coding RNA is filed under the name Theobroma cacao (cacao). Its description in RNAcentral is "long non-coding RNA (TCAC_LNC003814)". The record is from RNAcentral. Lineage: Eukaryota; Viridiplantae; Streptophyta; Magnoliopsida; Malvales; Malvaceae.
UCAAUUUUCCAGAAAAUUUAUAAAAUCAUUUUAUAAAAUCACAAUUUCUCCUAAAACGUAGCAAUUUACCAUUUAAACCCAUUUUCUAUAAAAUCACACAAUUGUAUAAAACUACUCUAGAUAAUUAAGACGAUAAUAAGUUUACUCACAGUAUUAGGAGUAGAAACACUCCUAUUUUCAGUCCGCGGGUAAAGUCCUUUACCCGUAUCCAAUGGCUCACCACCUAACCAUAAUCCAUGACACAUAUUCCAAUUAAAUUGUGUCUAACAGUCAAGCUAUUUCAAGCUUGAUAUAUAUGCAUGAUAUGAAAUGAAAAAUGCACAAGUAGCCAUCUAGACCCGGUAUUGGCCUAAGUCAAUUUUUCAUCUGAUAAAUUGGCCAAUGCGUCCAAUUUCACUCCAACUUGCUCCAUUUCUUUUCCAAUCCCUCAAUUCACCAAGCACAACUAAUUAACACACAAUUAGGCAAAAUUUAUCUUCACUUUUCUUCUUGGAACUUUCGGCCAACAAUGGUACCCUAACUUCGUGAUUUUUCCUACUUCAUUUUCUCUCCAUAAUUCAUUAAUUCGUACACCAAAAACUAUUAUUUCUUAAUCAAAUCACCUAGAAUAACAUCCCAUUCUUCCUCAUUAUUCACUUAGAGAAUUCGGCUAUUGAUGGGUUCCAAACCUUUGGUGGUUUUUUUCACUUGUUUUCAUGCUACACAUCAUUAAUCAACUAAAAACACUAACAUACCUAAAAAUCAAACCAAUCCAAGAUCAUUCUCUCUCCAUACCCAUUUUGACCAGCCAUGAAUUCAUCAUGAAAACAUGUAAUUUAACCAUGGAAAUUAAGGGAAAAUGCAUGGGUAAGGUAAAUCACUAGCAAAAUCAAAGAAAUUUUACCUUUGCUUGAUCAAAUCCUUGAAUUCUAACACUUUCUCUUUGAUUUUUCCCACCUAGGGUUUGUUCUUCCUUGGUUUCUCUUCUCUUAUAGUUUGGC